UACUUAGGGAUCUGCCUCUGUGUGGGGAGUAACUAUUGGAAACGAUAGCUAAUACCGCAUAAUGUCUACGGACCAAAGCGGGCUUCGGCUCGUGCGCAGAGAGGAACCUAAGCGAGAUUAGCUAGUUGGUGAGGUAAAGGCUCACCAAGGCGACGAUCUCUAGCUGUUCUGAGAGGAAGAUCAGCCACACUGGAACUGAGACACGGUCCAGACUCCUACGGGAGGCAGCAGUGGGGAAUAUUGCACAAUGGGGGAAACCCUGAUGCAGCCAUGCCGCGUGUGUGAAGAAGGCCUUCGGGU
RNAcentral lists this ribosomal RNA (300 nucleotides) under uncultured Glaciecola sp. Its description in RNAcentral is "bacterial SSU rRNA". It matches the Rfam family "Bacterial small subunit ribosomal RNA", at positions 114 to 423 of the family's 1533-position model. The record is from RNAcentral. Lineage: Bacteria; Pseudomonadati; Pseudomonadota; Gammaproteobacteria; Alteromonadales; Alteromonadaceae.